GGGUUGUGAGGUUAAGUGACUAAGCGUACACGGUGGAUGCCUAGGCAGUCAGAGGCGAUGAAGGGCGUGCUAAUCUGCGAAAAGCGUCGGUAAGGUGAUAUGAACCGUUACAACCGGCGAUACCCGAAUGGGGAAACCCAGUGUGUUUCGACACACUAUCAUGUCAUGAAUACAUAGUGGCAUGAGGCGAACCGGGGGAACUGAAACAUCUAAGUACCCCGAGGAAAAGAAAUCAACCGAGAUUCCCCCAGUAGCGGCGAGCGAACGGGGAGGAGCCCAGAACCUGAAUCGGCUUGUGUGUUAGUGGAAGCGUCUGGAAAGUCGCGCAGCAAAGGGUGAUAGCCCCGUACACUAAAAUGCACAGGUCGUGAGUUCGAUGAGUAGGGCGGGACACGUGACAUCCUGUCUGAAUAUGGGGGGACCAUCCUCCAAGGCUAAAUACUCCUGACUGACCGAUAGUGAACCAGUACCGUGAGGGAAAGGCGAAAAGAACCCCGGCGAGGGGAGUGAAAUAGAACCUGAAACCGUGUACGUACAAGCAGUGGGAGCACCUUCGUGGUGUGACUGCGUACCUUUUGUAUAAUGGGUCAGCGACUUAUAUUUUGUAGCAAGGUUAACCGUAUAGGGGAGCCGUAGGGAAACCGAGUCUUAACUGGGCGAAUAGUUGCAAGGUAUAGACCCGAAACCCGGUGAUCUAGCCAUGGGCAGGUUGAAGGUUGGGUAACACUAACUGGAGGACCGAACCGACUAAUGUUGAAAAAUUAGCGGAUGACUUGUGGCUGGGGGUGAAAGGCCAAUCAAACCGGGAGAUAGCUGGUUCUCCCCGAAAGCUAUUUAGGUAGCGCCUCGUGAACUCAUCUUCGGGGGUAGAGCACUGUUUCGGCUAGGGGGCCAUCCCGGCUUACCAAACCGAUGCAAACUCCGAAUACCGAAGAAUGUUAUCACGGGAGACACACGGCGGGUGCUAACGUCCGUCGUGAAGAGGGAAACAACCCAGACCGCCAGCUAAGGUCCCAAAGUCAUGGUUAAGUGGGAAACGAUGUGGGAAGGCACAGACAGCCAGGAUGUUGGCUUAGAAGCAGCCAUCAUUUAAAGAAAGCGUAAUAGCUCACUGGUCGAGUCGGCCUGCGCGGAAGAUGUAACGGGGCUAAACCAUGCACCGAAGCUGCGGCAGCGACGCUUAGGCGUUGUUGGGUAGGGGAGCGUUCUGUAAGCCGUUGAAGGUGGCCUGUGAGGGUUGCUGGAGGUAUCAGAAGUGCGAAUGCUGACAUAAGUAACGAUAAAGCGGGUGAAAAGCCCGCUCGCCGGAAGACCAAGGGUUCCUGUCCAACGUUA
Molecule: ribosomal RNA, 1335 nt
Filed under: Serratia marcescens
Lineage: Bacteria; Pseudomonadati; Pseudomonadota; Gammaproteobacteria; Enterobacterales; Yersiniaceae
Description: partial 23S ribosomal RNA
Rfam family: Bacterial large subunit ribosomal RNA
Source: RNAcentral